AUGCUCAUGUUGGAAGACUUCAGUGGAGCCCUUGAGUCGGAUGAAGGCAGCUGGAAUAUAAAGCAAGCCCAAAAAUCUGCUGGUGUUUCCCUGGAGAGUGAAGGAAACCAGGAAUCCAAUACUUUUAUAUGCUACACUUGUGAUGAAGAACUCGAAUCAAAUGAGGAGACUGGAUCACUGUGAAGAUAAGUAAGAACAGUAUCCGUGUUCUGACACUCAAUGGAUAACAUCUUGGCAAUGGAAGCAAUGGCACAACUCCUGAUCACUUCAGUGGAGCCAGGAUUUCACAGCCAAUUCAACAAGUGGGGAAAAAAUUGAGACACUGAAAUAGAGGACAGGAUAAUAAAAGUCUAAUAGGAAAACA
This 364-nucleotide long non-coding RNA is filed under the name Anas platyrhynchos platyrhynchos (common mallard). RNAcentral describes it as "lncRNA (ENSAPLG00000026399.1)". Lineage: Eukaryota; Metazoa; Chordata; Aves; Anseriformes; Anatidae. The record is from RNAcentral.